RNAcentral lists this ribosomal RNA (1181 nucleotides) under Escherichia coli. RNAcentral describes it as "bacterial LSU rRNA". It matches the Rfam family "Bacterial large subunit ribosomal RNA", at positions 1 to 1215 of the family's 2925-position model. Lineage: Bacteria; Pseudomonadati; Pseudomonadota; Gammaproteobacteria; Enterobacterales; Enterobacteriaceae. The record is from RNAcentral.
GGGUUGUGAGGUUAAGCGACUAAGCGUACACGGUGGAUGCCCUGGCAGUCAGAGGCGAUGAAGGACGUGCUAAUCUGCGAUAAGCGUCGGUAAGGUGAUAUGAACCGUUAUAACCGGCGAUUUCCGAAUGGGGAAACCCAGUGUGAUUCGUCACACUAUCAUUAACUGAAUCCAUAGGUUAAUGAGGCGAACCGGGGGAACUGAAACAUCUAAGUACCCCGAGGAAAAGAAAUCAACCGAGAUUCCCCCAGUAGCGGCGAGCGAACGGGGAGCAGCCCAGAGCCUGAAUCAGUGUGUGUGUUAGUGGAAGCGUCUGGAAAGGCGCGCGAUACAGGGUGACAGCCCCGUACACAAAAAUGCACAUACUGUGAGCUCGAUGAGUAGGGCGGGACACGUGGUAUCCUGUCUGAAUAUGGGGGGACCAUCCUCCAAGGCUAAAUACUCCUGACUGACCGAUAGUGAACCAGUACCGUGAGGGAAAGGCGAAAAGAACCCCGGCGAGGGGAGUGAAAAAGAACCUGAAACCGUGUACGUACAAGCAGUGGGAGCCUCUUUAUGGGGUGACUGCGUACCUUUUGUAUAAUGGGUCAGCGACUUAUAUUCUGUAGCAAGGUUAACCGAAUAGGGGAGCCGAAGGGAAACCGAGUCUUAACUGGGCGUUAAGUUGCAGGGUAUAGACCCGAAACCCGGUGAUCUAGCCAUGGGCAGGUUGAAGGUUGGGUAACACUAACUGGAGGACCGAACCGACUAAUGUUGAAAAAUUAGCGGAUGACUUGUGGCUGGGGGUGAAAGGCCAAUCAAACCGGGAGAUAGCUGGUUCUCCCCGAAAGCUAUUUAGGUAGCGCCUCGUGAAUUCAUCUCCGGGGGUAGAGCACUGUUUCGGCAAGGGGGUCAUCCCGACUUACCAACCCGAUGCAAACUGCGAAUACCGGAGAAUGUUAUCACGGGAGACACACGGCGGGUGCUAACGUCCGUCGUGAAGAGGGAAACAACCCAGACCGCCAGCUAAGGUCCCAAAGUCAUGGUUAAGUGGGAAACGAUGUGGGAAGGCCCAGACAGCCAGGAUGUUGGCUUAGAAGCAGCCAUCAUUUAAAGAAAGCGUAAUAGCUCACUGGUCGAGUCGGCCUGCGCGGAAGAUGUAACGGGGCUAAACCAUGCACCGAAGCUGCGGCAGCGACACU